UGGCGAACGGGUGAGUAGCACGUGGGUGAUCUGCCCUGCACUUCGGGAUAAGCCUGGGAAACUGGGUCUAAUACCGGAUAGGAGCCAUUUUUAGUGUGAUGGUUGGAAAGUUUUUUCGGUGUAGGAUGAGCUCGCGGCCUAUCAGCUUGUUGGUGGGGUAAUGGCCUACCAAGGCGGCGACGGGUAGCCGGCCUGAGAGGGUGGACGGCCACAUUGGGACUGAGAUACGGCCCAG
Molecule: ribosomal RNA, 235 nt
Filed under: uncultured Actinomycetales bacterium
Lineage: Bacteria; Bacillati; Actinomycetota; Actinomycetes; Actinomycetales
Description: partial 16S ribosomal RNA
Rfam family: Bacterial small subunit ribosomal RNA
Source: RNAcentral